RNAcentral lists this unclassified non-coding RNA (408 nucleotides) under fungal sp. Its description in RNAcentral is "partial internal transcribed spacer region". The stretch from base 1 to 46 matches the Rfam family "Eukaryotic small subunit ribosomal RNA", at positions 1786 to 1831 of the family's 1831-position model. The record is from RNAcentral. Lineage: Eukaryota; Fungi.
AAGUCGUAACAAGGUUUCCGUAGGUGAACCUGCGGAAGGAUCAUUAACACGUAUCCAAACGUUAAACCCCCCUGUGAACCUUCAGUCGUACUCGUACGUCCGUUAGAAAAAGCAGCAAUCGGCCGUGUGGGCCUCCAACGAUCGUGACUGCGUCAUCCUUACACAUGUUAGUGACACUUUCAGACACUAACGUUAGUGACACUUUCAGACACUAACUGCUUGGGGAUGCCAGGCCACUUACACGCACAACAUGCACGCUCCUUGCAGACGUCCCUGAAUCGAAAACUGUUCGGCACUGGGUGCAAGCCCCCUUAUCACACCCCUGCUCUAUCUAUGGUGAUCCUGCGGGAAGUCCUGCGGUCGAACGCCGAAACCGAACAACUGUUAACAAUGGAUAUCUUGGUUCUC